Molecule: long non-coding RNA, 230 nt
Filed under: Gossypium raimondii (Peruvian cotton)
Lineage: Eukaryota; Viridiplantae; Streptophyta; Magnoliopsida; Malvales; Malvaceae
Description: long non-coding RNA (GRAI_LNC009239)
Source: RNAcentral
UGUUACUGGAGAUUUAACGUAGCUCAGAUGCCAAUAAAUUUUUCAAGAGAAUAUUUAAUAAAAUUGUUUUAAAUUUUAUUAAAUGCAGAACUGAAUUUAAGUAGAAAAGAGAGUCAUAACCUAACUGGAAAAAUAAUUCCCCUAUUCUAGUAAACUCCUAAAAGAUAAAAUAAAAUAUUCCUAAAAAUCUCAAUUAAUUAUUCUAAGACUUAUCUACCUAAAUAACUUAA